GACUGGCUAAUUGAGUUCACCUCUGUUUACUAUAACCGUCCCUCUGCGUCUGCCUCCAAAUAUCAAAUGCUCUCCCACUUCCUCAAUCUUUAUCUUUCUUCACUUGUAUUCUUGUUUUCCCAUUGUCACUUUGCUCCCAAAAUCAAGCUUUUCCUUUAUUUAUAUUGCUCGGGGAAGCAAAAAUGGAGGGGUCUAACAAUUAUGGCCACCAACAUCCCCUGCUUCUUAUCUUGAAUGAAGAUCAGCUGCUGAAUGUAGCUAAGUGCUCAAGGUGUCGCGAGAAGGUGUCAACUCCAUGUUUUAGCUGUGCCGAGGAUUGUGGGUUUGACCUUCACAAGGUAUGUGCUGAGGCACCUUUGGAGCUUAA
Molecule: long non-coding RNA, 367 nt
Filed under: Gossypium raimondii (Peruvian cotton)
Lineage: Eukaryota; Viridiplantae; Streptophyta; Magnoliopsida; Malvales; Malvaceae
Description: long non-coding RNA (GRAI_LNC003344)
Source: RNAcentral